Molecule: long non-coding RNA, 804 nt
Organism: Trichosurus vulpecula (common brushtail)
Lineage: Eukaryota; Metazoa; Chordata; Mammalia; Diprotodontia; Phalangeridae
Exons: 2
Source: RefSeq, a predicted model, not a curated record
CGAAAAGCCCACAUCCAUUAUUUUCACAGCCUCCCCGCUAAGAUUGCGGUUUCCAAGCCAGAGCUGAUUCCCCUCCGCCCCCGGCGCAGAAGCUGCCAAAAUGCUCUCCUCUACCGGGGGUGGGGAGGAGUCCGGGGUGGUGGUGAAGAAGCGUAGGGGUAGAUAGUCAGAGAGUACUAACCCCAAUACUUUCUCUAUCCCAUCCCAGGUUAGAGAAUCUCAAGUCAAAUCCUACUUUCAGAGCCUGGUUUAUCGGAGUCAUUGGACAGGCUGUAAAAGGAUCUCAAGCCACUUAUAAUUAUAGCGCUUUGAUUCGUCUUGCCCUCCACUGACAAAAUCAGCUCUUGGCUUCCUCGGGUCUCCUUUCCUUCCUUUUCCUUUAUCCCUUUAGUAAAGAAAGGUCGAAAAUGCACCUACAGUCAAAAUUCCACCACCAGACUUGGGGACACCCCCAUCUCUAGAUGCUGCCCAGUGCGGGUCAGGGAGGACCGAAGCUGGAAGACUGCCUCCCAGAAACGAAUCUGCCCACUCUGACAGCUCGAUUGAAGGUGAUUGAUGACUAUCUGGAGACCACAGUACACAUAAUAUAAUAUCUGCUGCGUAAUUGCUUUAAUUUACAGAUGAAAAUACUAGUUCUCCGAUCGAGUUAGACUAUAGUAAGCAACGUCCUAGCUGCUUUCAAAGGAAAGGCAUCGGAAAUAAUGAAUAGCAGAUCCAUGCAAAUUAUUCAGACAGUUUAGCGUCUGUAGCCGGGAGAAAUGUAAAAAGAACACGAGUCAAAUGACAUUAAUAAUUGUUUUUGAA